ACCAAGAUCCAGAGGCAUCCUCAGAGAAGGGGCCUGUAACAUGUGAAGAAAAUAGGAAGUUGCAGUAAACAAGACUAUACAGUGCAACUGCUUUAUCAGUUUGUGGACAGAGAUUAAAUUGUGUUUGAAAUAAGGAACAAACAACACAUUAUGAAGUGUGAUGAAUGGGGUUAAAUCAAAAGAUCCAGUGGAGGUCACUUUCACUUUGUAUCCAUUGGGAAGUGUUACAAGAUAAGGUACAGUCAAGGGUGUGAUAUCAAAGAGUAAAGCUUUAUUAGAUGUCAU
This 285-nucleotide long non-coding RNA is filed under the name Nicotiana benthamiana. RNAcentral's name for it is "long non-coding RNA (NBEN_LNC031552)". The record is from RNAcentral. Lineage: Eukaryota; Viridiplantae; Streptophyta; Magnoliopsida; Solanales; Solanaceae.